Molecule: ribosomal RNA, 253 nt
Filed under: uncultured bacterium
Lineage: Bacteria
Description: partial 16S ribosomal RNA
Rfam family: Bacterial small subunit ribosomal RNA
Source: RNAcentral
UACGUAGGUGGCAAGCGUUGUCCGGAUUUACUGGGCGUAAAGCGCGCGCAGGCGGCUGGCUAAGUCCGAUGUGAAAUCUCCCGGCUCAACUGGGAGCGGUCAUUGGAUACUGGUCGGCUUGAGGGAGGCAGAGGAGAGUGGAAUUCCCGGUGUAGUGGUGGAAUGCGUAGAUAUCGGGAGGAACACCAGCGGCGAAGGCGGCUCUCUGGGCCUUUCCUGACGCUGAGGCGCGAAAGCGUGGGGAGCAAACCGG